CACCGAAACAGAAACAGACGGACUUUAACUGGCCGCCUAAACGAUCGCUUAACUACUGUUAAUCUGCGGAUCGGGCUUUUAAACCGGCCCGCGAUAAUCCUGGCCCAAGGUUGAACGCCGUUCGGAGCGUGCUGCCCCACGCCAGGCAGCCGAAAAGAAACACACAGCCGAACGCAGUUUUCUGCCCCUCAAUGAGCCAAAUUAGCAACCGAUCUCUACGCAAAUCUUUGACGUCAGCAUCCGAGCAGUGAGCGCACGCUUUUUGGGUGGCGGGCAAGGGGCUCUUGGCAAGGUGAACGAGACCAAAUAUGGGGAACCAGAAGUGGGUUACGGGAAACCUGCGCUCUCUGCGGGAAUUCAGCGGAAAUGGGUGCUUAAGGGAUGUUAUGUAAUUUUGAAAAGGCGAAUCCCUAAAGAUUGUGAUGCAUUAGUAAAGUUAGAGAAUACCAUGCCAGCUAUCCCCUUCCCCAACCCAACAGGAUGCCAGGCAGUUAGCGUGCUUAGCAGGUGCCCGAGGCAUUCCUAAUGACGAAGCGAAACGGCGACCGAGACCCCUUUCCUGCGGCCUGUUCCUCCUCUGGCUCCACCGGUUCUUGUGAUUCAACAGAUUCUUCAGAUUCGGUAAGCCCAAGGUCCCACUGUUUGCACAACAACACGACGCCGAGCUGGUCGCCACUUGAGACGCUGAUUUAUGCACGAAAUGCUAAUGGAAAUGCAACUUCAAAUGCUAAUUGCGGCGACGGUCAAAGACUCGUCUUCGUCUCCAGUCUUCGGUCUUCUGUCUUCUGUCUUCGGCAUCCCGGCACCAAGAAGAGCCUUGGGGGUACGAGAGACGUAGGCGACGCAGGCCCCGAGAAGACGACAGUUCAUCACAAUUGCGUGUGCAAAUCAACGAGGCGACCAGCGACGGCGCGCAUGCGCAGCGCAGAAGAUUCAGAUUGGCUUGGAGGGCCUAACCCACGCCCAACCUCUGGUGCCCGAUGGCUCUGCCUCUGCC
Drosophila biarmipes is the source of this 997-nucleotide long non-coding RNA. RefSeq lists it as uncharacterized. The transcript has 3 exons. Lineage: Eukaryota; Metazoa; Arthropoda; Insecta; Diptera; Drosophilidae. The record is from RefSeq and is a predicted model, not a curated record.